UACGAAGGGUGCAAACGUUGUUCGGAAUUACUGGGCGUAAAGCGCACGUAGGCGGAUUUGUAAGUCAGGGGUGAAAUCCCGGGGCUCAACCUCGGAACUGCCUUUGAUACUGCAAAUCUCGAGUCCGGAAGAGGUGAGUGGAAUUCCUAGUGUAGAGGUGAAAUUCGUAGAUAUUAGGAAGAACACCAGUGGCGAAGGCGGCUCACUGGUCCGGUACUGACGCUGAGGUGCGAAAGCGUGGGGAGCAAACAGG
This 253-nucleotide ribosomal RNA is filed under the name uncultured bacterium. RNAcentral describes it as "partial 16S ribosomal RNA". It matches the Rfam family "Bacterial small subunit ribosomal RNA", at positions 524 to 776 of the family's 1533-position model. The record is from RNAcentral.